RNAcentral lists this long non-coding RNA (225 nucleotides) under Elaeis guineensis (African oil palm). RNAcentral describes it as "long non-coding RNA (EGUI_LNC043594)". Lineage: Eukaryota; Viridiplantae; Streptophyta; Magnoliopsida; Arecales; Arecaceae. The record is from RNAcentral.
CACUCCCUAUAGAGUACAGAAAUUUCUAUACGAUUAGGAUUUCUAGUGGGUACUGCGGUCCCAUCUAUUUGUAUGCACCUCACCUAACAGUUAUUGAUAGUAUACUAAACCAAUAGGUGGAUAACUCUUUGUCCAAUGCAUCUCAUGCAUAUUGCAGUGAUUCGAUCUCUAAGUCAUGUGAGCUUACCUAACAGUUAUUAACCAUACUUCUUAGUUAAGUCAGAU